RNAcentral lists this ribosomal RNA (771 nucleotides) under uncultured bacterium. Its description in RNAcentral is "bacterial SSU rRNA". It matches the Rfam family "Bacterial small subunit ribosomal RNA", at positions 8 to 796 of the family's 1533-position model. The record is from RNAcentral.
AGAGUUUGAUCCUGGCUCAGGACGAACGCUGGCGGCGUGCUUAACACAUGCAAGUCGAACGGAAAGGCCCUUCGGGGUACUCGAGUGGCGAACGGGUGAGUAACACGUGGGUGAUCUGCCCUGCACUUUGGGAUAAGCCUGGGAAACUGGGUCUAAUACCGAAUAUGACCAUGCACUUCCUGGUGUGUGGUGGAAAGCUUUUGCGGUGUGGGAUGGGCCCGCGGCCUAUCAGCUUGUUGGUGGGGUAAUGGCCUACCAAGGCGACGACGGGUAGCCGGCCUGAGAGGGUGACCGGCCACACUGGGACUGAGAUACGGCCCAGACUCCUACGGGAGGCAGCAGUGGGGAAUAUUGCACAAUGGGCGCAAGCCUGAUGCAGCGACGCCGUGUGAGGGAUGACGGCCUUCGGGUUGUAAACCUCUUUCAGCACAGACGAAGCGCAAGUGACGGUAUGUGCAGAAGAAGGACCGGCCAACUACGUGCCAGCAGCCGCGGUAAUACGUAGGGUCCGAGCGUUGUCCGGAAUUACUGGGCGUAAAGAGCUCGUAGGUGGUUUGUCGCGUUGUUCGUGAAAACUCACAGCUUAACUGUGGGCGUGCGGGCGAUACGGGCAGACUUGAGUACUGCAGGGGAGACUGGAAUUCCUGGUGUAGCGGUGGAAUGCGCAGAUAUCAGGAGGAACACCGGUGGCGAAGGCGGGUCCCUGGGCAGUAACUGACGCUGAGGAGCGAAAGCGUGGGGAGCGAACAGGAUUAGAUACCCUGGUAGUCC